AGAGUUUGCUCAUGGCUCAGAUUGAACGCUGGCGGCAUGCUUUACACAUGCAAGUCGAACGGCAGCACGGGGGCAACCCUGGUGGCGAGUGGCGAACGGGUGAGGAAUGCACCGGAACGUAUCUUCAAGUGGGGGAUAACGCAUCGAAAGGUGUGCUAAUACCGCAUAAUCUCUGAGGAGAAAAGCAGGGGAUCGCAAGACCUUGCGCUUUUGGAGCGGCCGAUGCCUGAUUAGCUUGUUGGUGAGGUAAAAGCUCACCAAGGCUCCGAUCAGUAGCUGGUCUGAGAGGACGACCAGCCACACUGGGACUGAGACACGGCCCAGACUCCUACGGGAGGCAGCAGUGGGGAAUUUUGGACAAUGGGGGCAACCCUGAUCCAGCCAUGCCGCGUGAGUGAAGAAGGCCUUCGGGUUGUAAAGCCCUUUCAGCCGGAACGAAACGGUCACGGUUAAUACCCGUGACUACUGACGGUACCGGAAGAAGAAGCACCGGCUAACUACGUGCCAGCAGCCGCGGUAAUACGUAGGGUGCGAGCGUUAAUCGGAAUUACUGGGCGUAAAGCGUGCGC
This 569-nucleotide ribosomal RNA is filed under the name uncultured beta proteobacterium. RNAcentral describes it as "bacterial SSU rRNA". It matches the Rfam family "Bacterial small subunit ribosomal RNA", at positions 8 to 572 of the family's 1533-position model. The record is from RNAcentral. Lineage: Bacteria; Pseudomonadati; Pseudomonadota; Betaproteobacteria.